Molecule: ribosomal RNA, 99 nt
Filed under: uncultured bacterium
Lineage: Bacteria
Description: partial 16S ribosomal RNA
Rfam family: Bacterial small subunit ribosomal RNA
Source: RNAcentral
UACACACCGCCCGUCAAGCCAUGGGAGUUGGUUCUACCUGAAGACGGUGCGCUAACCGCAAGGAGGCAGCCGGCCACGGUAGGGUCAGCGACUGGGGUG